UACGGAGGAGGCAAGCGUUAUCCGGAAUUAUUGGGCGUAAAGCGUCCGCAGGUGGCUAUUCAAGUCUGCGGUCAAAGACUGGGGCUUAACCCUGGAAAGGCCGUGGAAACUGAAGAGCUAGAGUGCAGUAGGGGUAGAGGGAAUUCCCGGUGUAGCGGUGAAAUGCGUAGAGCUCGGGAAGAACAUCGGUGGCGAAAGCGCUCUGCUGGACUGCAACUGACACUCAGGGACGAAAGCGAGGGGAGCGAAUGGG
Molecule: ribosomal RNA, 253 nt
Filed under: uncultured bacterium
Lineage: Bacteria
Description: partial 16S ribosomal RNA
Rfam family: Bacterial small subunit ribosomal RNA
Source: RNAcentral